This 11524-nucleotide long non-coding RNA is filed under the name Panax ginseng (ginseng). RNAcentral's name for it is "long non-coding RNA (PGIN_LNC000098)". The stretch from base 10312 to 10425 matches the Rfam family "MIR6135 microRNA precursor family". The record is from RNAcentral. Lineage: Eukaryota; Viridiplantae; Streptophyta; Magnoliopsida; Apiales; Araliaceae.
CGCUCACAUGAAGGUGGACCCGACUUACUAUUCAUGUGAGGAGAGCCUUGCAGAAAUAUCAAUUUCUCUUGCGGAAAUAUCAAUUUCCCUUGCGGAACCCAGAAUGGCUUCUUUAAUAUACCAAUAGUUUAAUCCACCGACUUCUUAUUAAUAAUCCUGAAAGAUAAAAAAAAAUAUUAUUAAUUAUUAGAAUUAGUAUAAUAAAGUUUGGGAAUUACUAUUUUCACAAGUAAAACAUGAUAUUCUAUAAGAUCUCACUUACAUGAAGGUGGACCCCACUUACUAUUCAUGUGAGGAGAGCCUUGCGGAAAUAUCAAUUUCCCUUGCAAAAAUAUCAAUUCCCUAAAGUUUAUGCGUACAUCCAAAAAUAAAUUCUUGAAGACCAUACAUAUCUUUCACCUGUAUUCUGUUUGUUGUACAAAAAUUACAUCAACAUGUUUCAUUUAACAAAUGACAAAGCUUACUUCCUUUUUAUUUUUUAUUUUUUUGAAUUUCCAAUUUUGUUUUGACUAUUGUUUUCAUGUUUAUAUCUUAGUGUUCCUUGGUAGUUUUAUCAAAGAAACAAGAAAACGUAGUUUGACUAUCAUCUUUCAAGAAGUAGUUGAUACAUUAUAUUUCUUCCAGAAAUGCUUAUAUACUUGGGGAUAUGGUGUAAUUACUGUUAAAGUUCAAACUUAAGCCAACAUAACCAUUGUACAAUGCUUUUAAAUUUCAGCUUUAUGUUUCGUAUUGCAGAGAAAUCAUGCACUUUUUUUUCUUCUUGUUGGAGGCGGUCAUUCACAUCAUACAGCAUUUUGUUAUUAGCUUUUAUGGUGAUAACCUAAAAUGUAUAGAAAUCCUAACUUUUUUAUAUGGUUUAACAUGUGAUUACCACAGUCAAAAAUGGCAGCUAUAAUGGCAUCUUUCAUUAUGCACAAACCUCGACAAAGAUCACCUUUCACCAAAGCUGCUCUGAAGACGGUACCCUGUGCAUAUAUUCUUUUCUACUACAAUACCUUACGAAUAAGCAUUUAUUAUUUUAUGUGUUUUGAAUAUUGAAUCUUAUUCCCUGAGAAUAUCUAGGUUUGCUGUAAAGGGAAAUAUUUGAAGGUUACUGUAAUUUAACUGAUAACUUUUAUUUGUCAGCUUGAGAGCAUUGGAGAACUACAGCAGUUCUUGAUGAAGCAUAAGAAGGACUACGUUGAUGUGCACCGCACCACUGAGCAGGAGAGAGAUAGUAUUGAGCAUGAAGUAAGAUUUGAGAUUUGAACGAAUCUAAAAUGGGAAUCUAUGAUACAAUUUAAGUCGCCAUAAAUUUUUUUAUGUGAUAUUUAUCUUGUACUUGCACCAGAGUUAUAAAAUAUUUGCUCAUGCCAGAACUUUUAACACGUUUACACUGAAUGAAUGUGGUUGCUAGUAAGAAAAAGAAAUACUUUCCUCUCAUAUUUGGUCUAGAAAGAUGAAACAUUUUGUUUGGAUGAUAUGAAAAAGUCUUCACAGCAUUUCUUGGAAUUGACUUUUAUAACUUCAUCUACAUUUGAUUUACCACAGCAAGAAAACCAAUUUUGAGGCCCUGCUUGGUUGAGGGACAAUCAAUUUCCCAUGGUUCUUUGAGUUGGUUGUUUGCAUAUGAUUAGGUAUCUACAUAUUAGGCUUAAAGAAGCUUUUUGGAUUCUUGGGAUUAUGUAUAGAUUUUACACAAAAGGUCUAUGCAAGAUUAAAUUUGAGCAGCUUUUGUCCAAGUCUCUAGUCGUCUUAACUAGGUUCAGUUGAAUAUAUAUACACACACACACACAUAUAUACAAGUGUGAGACAUAUAUAAAGGAAGCCUACUUGUAAGGUUUGUUUACUGUCAGAACUCUACCACCCUUCACUUCUCAAAUCAGAUCCACAAAAUUUGAUCCUUUAUAUGUAUUUACUUCUGCAUUCUGAGAUUUGUUUGGGUGAACCAAAAAUAUGUUAAGAGUGAGAGAGUGGGGCCCAUAUCAAAGUUGUAAGUGUCCUCACUGGGUUAAGUCCUCCCUCACCACACCAUGGCUGGAGGGAAUACUGGCCAAUAUUGAAUUACAUAUGUCUACCUUGCCAUAUGAUUUUGAAACUCUUAGGGUAAGGAUGGGCAAAUUUUCCAGAUUUGAAUAAAAAAGACUUGGCACAAAAUGCAUCAGUUGGAUUGGCAAAGCAGUAGUUUGAUGUUUUGUUUUCUUUUGUUUGCAAACCUAGAGUUAUUCAUAUCUCAAUGCUUUGAUACAAUUUUGGUGACACCUACUGAACUUACUAUAAUUUGGAUAUAUUAGAUUGUAAAUUGGUGAUUUAGGUUUUGUAUCUUGCACAACAAAAGUUAAGGUCUAAAGUCUAAAUUAUAUUGGAUGUUUGCCUGCUCAAUUUUUUGUUACUUAACCCUCUGCAGGUUACAAUUUUUAUAAAAGCGUGCAAAGAACAGAUAGACGUACUAAAAAUUGGUAUAAAUGAUGAUGAAGCAAAUUCAAAGGGCUGGCUUGGUAUCAGGGGCGAUAGCCCUAAUGCUGAUACCAUAGCUCACAAACAUGGAGUGGUAUGUUUACAACAUUUUGAUGAUAAAGAUCUUUAAUGCUUUGGGGCUAAUUAGAUAGUUUUUUGCUUAAAUUGUUCAUGAAAAAGCUUGAUAGACAAAUAUAACGUACACUUCUGUGCGAAUAAAGGUUAAAUUUUAUAUAUAUAAAAUUCUCUGUCGUAAAUGUUUUAGUUAUGAACCCAAAUAAAGUAUAAGCUGUUGCGAUAUCACAAUCAUAAACAUCACCUUUGUUAUGAUAUCCCACUUGCAUUUGAUAUCAGAGUGAACUCGUGCUAGUCUUAAUGCAACCAUCUCAAGUUAGGCUUGACUCUUGUCCAUGUGGUGCUGUCUCUCUGAAUUUCAUGGCAAUGCCUACAACUGCAAAACUUUACUUAAAAGCUUAGCUUUUUUUCCUCGAGUUCUCGCUUCUUUUAUAUAUAGUUAUCGUGCCCCCUAGCUCAAAACAAGGAAGUACAACUUGCAGAAUAGAAUAUAUAUAUAUAUAUAUAUAUAUACACACACACACACAAUCUCCCUCUUGUAGGAUUUGCAUGCAGUUUAUAUAUUUGUUGACAUGCAAGAUAUGAAGUUUACUCUCCUUUCUAGUAUUAUAGAAAUGUUUUUUGCAAGAAAGUGAUGUCAUCGAGUAGCAUUACAUACAAGCAAUUGCUAAAUGUAAUAAACUUAAAAGAAUAAACACCAAGCAAUUUGUAUUUUCUUCCAAAUGUAACUCAUGCAUAUGAACGGGGGUGCCCCAUUUGAGCGCACUGUUAAUGUUUUCCAUUUAAUCUUUUGGAUGCAAGUAAUUUCUCUAUGCUUUUUGUUUAUUGGGUGCAGGUUUUGAUUUUAAGCGAACGGCUUCAUGCUGUGACAUCACAGUUUGAUCAGUUGAGAGCUGUUCGCUUCCAAGAUGCUAUCAACCGAGCUAUGCCGAGAAGAAAACUAAAGAAGGCUGCCACAACAGAUUCUACUGAUAUUUCAAAGCUUAACAAGUUGGAGCUAAGGGAGCAUAUCAAUUCAGAGAUUGGGGAGACUAGUGAUGUUCAAGCAGAGCCUCUUAGAGUCCAGCAACAGCUAUUGGAUGACGAAACACGUGCACUUCAGGUAAUUAGAUAUUUAAUUCCUGAUGCAUUUCUUUAAGUCUCUCACAUUUGUGAAGUCUUCGCUCAUUAUUCACAGGUUAUUUCUUUAGCAAAGCUGUUUCUUUUGUGAUACAGGUAGAGUUGACGAGUCUUCUAGUUGCUGUACAAGAAACUGAAACUAAGAUGGUAGAAAUGUCUGCAUUGAAUCAUCUCAUGUCGACACACGUGCUGCAGCAGUCUCAACAGAUUGAACUUUUGUAUGAGCAGGUCUGAACAUUGGCAUAUGAUUAUUUAUCUGGUUGUUUAUUUAAUCAAGUUCAUCCUUAAUCAGCACGGUCAUCUUUUCAACAUUUUACAAAGAGAAAUAAUGCAGCCAGCUCUAGCUUUCUCACUACCUCUAAGAAUUGGUGAAACAAACCUACCUUUGAAAACCAAGAUCACUAGUUAAUUCACUAGAUAUGGCUUGCCAGUCAAAUGCAGCUGCUAAUUUGGUUGCUAUGUUUUUCUUUUCCUUAGUUAGGCAUGUCUCCAAUACUAAAUGACAUGGAAUUUGUCAUACCUAUGAGAAAAUUGAAAAGAACUCUUGAGCAUCUGUGUAUGACUGAAAAAUCAUGGUUUUUGAGUACUUCUAAUCGAGGAAAUUUGAAAUUUUCAAUGUCCACUACACGUUACCCGGGCAUUGAAUACAGGUAAUUUUUUGAUAGAAAAACCUUCAUGAGAUUCAACUGCCAAAACGACAUUGUUUGACAGGAAUCAAACAUUUAACUAUAGGAAUUUUACUUUUGCCCCUUCAAUUUAUAGUUUGCACGAAGUAAAAUUAUUUUACCGUUGCAAAUAAAAGCUUCUAGACUAAGUUACUGGAGUUGAUGCACUGGUUUUACGUGCACCUUGCCGCAGUUAAAUGUUCUUAGAGCAAUGCUACAUACACCUGAUUCCUUAAACUAUUGAUGUGAAGCAUCCCCCAUCCUCUCUAAAUUACCAAAAAAACUGAGACUUGGCUUUUAUAGUUAGUUUUAGGGAUACCUUGAAACAUCAGUAUGUUCAGGAUAUAGGUGCACUUGGCAUUUCUUGAUGUUCUUAAUGUUUUCUUUUAGUGUGUCCCAUCCCCAUGUUAUGUGGAAAUAUCAUUUCAACACUUUCUUUCACAAACAUUUUAUUGACAAUUCCUUGUUUGCUCAUCAACUCUAUUCUUGAUGCUUCAGUUUGUACUAAUUCUUCUUAAACCAUUUUGGUUAUACAGGCGGUUGAAGCAACCCAAAAUGUAGAGCUCGGUAACAAAGAACUGUCGCAAGCCAUCCAACGAAAUUCCAGUAGCAGAACGUUUCUUUUGCUGUUUCUAUUUGUACUUACAUUUUCAGUCCUUUUUCUUGAUUGGUAUAGUUAAAUUGGAGGGAUGAAUUAAAAUACAUUUAGGACUUCAACUAUUAUAAUAAUUAUUAUUAUUUUUUACAUAUUAUUUUGUUAAAUAAACUCGAGUAAAAAUGACUUUUGGCAGAAGAUGACAAAAACAAAAAAUGAAUAAAAGGAAAUUCAAGUCAAAAUGGGCCUAUGAGUCCAAAACAACUUCAAAUAAACCACUCGACUAUGACCCAAAAUAUGUACCUCAAUUGUGGGCAAUCCAGCCCGAAUAUCUUGAACACGAACAUUUGUAACCCGUAACCCUACAUAUAAAAGCAACUCUAUCUUUACAUUUUGCCAUUAGGGUUUUAGCUUCCUUAUUCGCAGGCGACUCUCUCUCUCAGUUGCAAAUCCUCCAGCAGCAAAAAUGGUGAAAGGACGUCAAGGCGAGCGAGUCAGGUUAGAGCUAUAGCUUUCUCUCUCCUCUCCAUUUCCAUUAAAAUCUACAAAAACAUCAUUUGAUUUUACGUUCGUGAUCGAUUGAUUUCAGGCUCUACGUAAGAGGAACAAUCCUCGGUUACAAGCGGUCUAAAUCGAACCAGUAUCCAAGCACCUCGUUGAUUCAAAUUGAAGGAGUGAACACCAAGGAGGUCACCUGGUACCAGGGUAAGCGACUAGGAUACAUCUACAAGGCCAAGGUGAAGACUGGUGGCUCACACUAUCGCUGCAUUUGGGGAAAAGUGAUUAGGCCUCAUGGUAACACUGGUGUUGUCCGUGCUAAGUUCAAGUCCAAUCUUCCUCCCAAAUCCAUGGUAUUAUUAUGCAAUCUUAUUAAAGUUUAUGUAUGUGGUUUCUUAUAUAUAAGUUUUUUGAAAUGGGGUUUUGAUUUGUGUAAUUGUUCGUUGUUUGCAGGGAGCUAGGGUCAGGUUUUUCAUGUACCCAUGUAAUAUAUGAAGGGUCAGGGUUUUCAUGUACCCAAGUAAUAUAUGAGGUAAUGUACUUGCCUUUUUGUGCUAUUGUAUUUUAGUAAUGGUUUAUUUGUUUGCUUUUGUUUUCCAUUUGAUUUGGUGCAAAUUGGAGAGUAUAAGCUCUGUAUUAGUUCAUUAACAUAUAUUUUGGGUAAUUUCUAGCUGCCAGGUUAGGACCUGAAAAAAACAUUUAAGUUAUUGUGACAUUUGUAGUUACCUUUGUUUUUUUAACUUUAGUUAACCUUAAUAAGCUUGUCUCUGAACUUGAUUACAUGCAUAUUGUAGUUUCUGUUUCUGUGUGUGUGAUCUUUUUUGAUGGCUGGCCUUGAAAAGUUGAUUAAUUUUAAAAUAUUACGGUCAUGAGACAUAUGAAUAAUUAACAAGUACCAAGAUUUAUGGUUGUUUCCUAUUAAAAGGCCACAAUAAUUUCCCCUUGACUUAUAGCAUUUCUAGCAGGCCGGUAAUGAACAAUUAUAUUUAGUCUAGGAUACAAAUUUCGCUCCAGCAAACAGACUAAAGAUAGUCCAUCGAAUUUUUUGGCAAGGCUAAACGACUAAAGAUGAAGAAAGAAGAAGAUGAGAAGGGUCUUAAUAAAAAAGUAACGAAUAGAAAUUAAAAAAUUUAUAAAUAUGCACAAUAAUUUAAUAUAUUUUACCUAUCUCUCAAUCAACUACUUCAACCUUUAACAAUUAUAAGUAUUUUGUUAAUAAUAAUUUAUAUUUUUAUUAUAUUUGAUAUUUAUUUUUUAAUUGAUAAUAUUUCUUUAAUUUAUUUUUUAGGUGGAAAAUUAUGGUCCUCUUAUGUAUUAUAUUAUUUUUUAUUAUAUUUGAGUUUUUUUGAAUUUAUUGAUUAUUUUAAUUUUUUUAUAUUAUAGUCCACGGGAUAGUCCACAUGAUAGUCCAUUUGUUGGAAGGAUUGAAGACCAAUGGACAUCUGCUGAUGUCAUAUGGAUUAAAUAUAGAUAGUCCAUCUGUUGGAGAUGCUCUUAGUAGCAGAAGAUUUACAAAACUUUGCAUUUCUUAAAUUGUAAUAGGUUUGGACUUGAGUAAUCUCAGUAACAUGAAGACCAUACACAGGUUGGGUAAUUUUUUUAAGGGGAUUGAUAUUUUCGUAGGUUAUUUUGAUAGUUCUGCAAUGGCCCCACAUUCAAAUUGAAAAUCAUCUUUUGUGCCCAAUUUACCCCUAUUUGCAGCAACACACCAUUCCUCUCUCUCUCUCUCCCACCUUCUGCACUUCAUCUUCUCUUUCUAACCUCCACAACUAUCCCAAUCUAACCCAAUUUUCUCUAACCCAAUUUCACCUACUCAAGUAGAAAGUAAGUAAUCUUUCGUUCGAUGAGAGAGACCCACAAAUAUGAACUACAUAGAAAUUAUCUAAUCCAAUCCAUCAUCUCCUCCCUCUGUCAAAACUCCCCCGUACCUGCAUCUAAUUCAAAUCCAUAGUUGUCAUGGCGUCACCAAGGCAUCGCCUAGCGUUGGAGAACGGCAAGGUGCCUUGGAUGUCGAGCCGCCAAAGCUCACACCUUGGUAGCUGGUCCAAGUUAAGUGAUUAAGUCAUUUUUUACCUAUCACUCAUCAUAACCCAUCAUGAAUUUGUUAUGUUGUGUAAUUUUAUUACUUAUUAUACUUGUAAUGGGUGAUGGGUAAGUCAUCAUUCUUUAUUUUUAAUGUGGUGUUUAUUAACCUGUUCUACUAGUUUUUAGUUUCAAGUGUUUUAUUUUUGAAUUUUGAUUGUGAAGUAUUUAUAUAAUUGUGUUUAUAAUUGUAUUUCAUAGUGUUAGUUAUUAUGAUUUGGGUAUUAAUGUAUAUAAAAUUUUAUUGUUCAAUAUACUUUUAAAGUAAAAUAAUAAUGUAUAAAUUGCAUAUUGUUAACAACUUGUGACCAUACGGACGUCAUUGCUGGUGCCUUAUUGUUUAGGCGUCUUGACGGUCAACUACCAUUGCAUCUCGCCAUGCNNNNNNNNNNNNNNNNNNNNNNNNNNNNNNNNNNNNNNNNNNNNNNNNNNNNNNNNNNNNNNNNNNNNNNNNNNNNNNNNNNNNNNNNNNNNNNNNNNNNAGAUGCUCUUAGUAACAGAAGAUUUAUAAAAGUUUGUAUUUCUUAAUUGUGUAAAAUGUUUGGACUUCAGUAAUCUCAGUAACAUGAAGACUAUACACGUGCUGGGUAAUUUUUUUGAGGGGAUUGAUAUUUUCGCAGGUUAUUUUGAUAGUUCUGUAAUGGCCCCACAUUCAAACUGAAAAUCAUCUUUUGUGCCCAAUUUACCCCUAUUUGCAACAACACACCAUUCCACUCUCUCUCUCUCUCCCACCUUCUGCACUUCAUCUUCUCUUUCUAACCUCCACAACUAUCCCAAUCUAACCCAAUUUUCUCUAACCCAAUUUCACCUACUCAAGUAGAAAGUAAGUAAUCUUUCGUUCGAUGAGAGAAAGACCCACAAAUAUGAACUACAUAGAAAUUAUCUAAUCCAAUCCAUAGUCUCCUCCCUCUGUCAAAACUCCCCCGUACCUGCAUCUAAUUCAAAUCCAUAGUUGUCAUAGUGGUUUUAUGAUGUCUUUAUCAUGUUAGAUCUAUUGAAUGACGAGGGACGUGGUGCAAAGAUCAGUAGACGGCGGAGCUCAAUUAGGUGUUGUAACAAGUAGGGCAAAAUGGACACAAAUAAAUUGCUUUUAAUUAGGAUGUAGGGUCCAUUGCGGAAAUAUCAAUUCCCUUUUUUUAAUUAAUUGAAAACCAAAUAAUCCGUUGAAAGUCAUGUAUCUGUGUGUGCUAAAUGGUAUUGUCACUUCAAACUUCUUUAGAAUUAUCUCUUAUUUACUUUUAUAACAGAUUUACCACUUACUUAUUUGUGAAUCCUAGAUCUCCAAUAUGGUAUUUUUACUGCAAGUGCAAGCUUCCUUAGAAAUGUAGCAUUUAGAGUAAAUGCUUGUCCCCUAGUUGUCAAUGAAAGAGUUAACUUCUAUCCAAGCAUUGUUUUAUUGGUACAGGGACACAUUUCCUUUGGGCCUUGUUUUUGUGAAAGAGUCCAACUUAACUAAUAAAACUUAAAAUAAAUGAAUUGUUACCUCGAUCAAGGAUUAUUCAUUAACCUCUUUAUACAUUGCGUAAUGCCUGCUUUUGUAGACAUGUUUAUAUGAUUGUUUUAUGUUGUAAUUUUGUUUGUGUUUUCUUAUUUCAGUUUCUCCUCAAGGGAAGAAGAAAGGAUUGUCAUAUUUCUAGCUUCAAAAGGUUUUGAAUAUCAUUGUCGAAGUCAACACCGAUUGGAGUGACUUGCAUUUUCGUUUUUAUUUCUUUUGGAGAGCUGAAUGCUAUGUAAUUUCUCAAGUUAAAGUAGCAUUUUUCUUUGCACAAUUUUUUGCCUGUUUAGUACACAAUUCUAGAACAUAUGACAUGAUUUGACGAAAUUAUAAUUAUUUGGGUUCUCGGUUAUUCCUUGCUUUGAACUAAUAGAGAGAUUGAGGAUGGGGAGCGAAAGAGUAGUAGGAAAGUGAUAAUUUUAGGUGGCAAAGGCUCUUUUCUUGCGCAUUGAUUCUUCUUCCAAAAUUUCAGGGCUUCUCUUUAUGUACCUGCUGCUAAUUUCCAUGUUAGUGGUGUUUCAAACUUACACGAAGCUUUUUGGGUUCCUUCCCAUCUGCAUCUUCUUGCUGCUUUGUUUAUUUGACUCUUUUUGUACUUGGUUUCAAGUUUUUAGUAAUGAAAUUUUAUUACUUGUUAGUAGUAGUAGUGAAAUGUGGUAAUCUUAUAACUUCAUUUAACUAACCCGUUAAUAUAUUUCCACAUCUAAACGCCUAAUGUCCAUCCUAUAUUAGUGUAAUUUUGCUGAUAUUCAGAUUCAGUAUGAUUUAUUUAUGGAUGUGGUGGACUAGGCAUAUUUUAUAGUAAAAUGGAGUCUACCACCAUUGCUGAUACCAGAGUUCUACCCGGCUUGGUUGAAAAUGUUUGAAAGAUGGUUUGAUUAGUCUACUUUUGGGGAUUAAAGAAAACAAGUUCAGACUUCAGAGUGAUAAUUGUUUCUGGCUUUAUAAUAAUAAUGCUCUUAACUAAUGUAUUGAUUGCUCAAACUAGUUUCGAUUUGGAAAACACUAUCAAUUAUACAGUUUUUGCUGCAACAUCUGGAGGAAAAAUUGUUCAGUUUUCUCACAUUUCUCCUUGGAUUUCUAUUUGAUAAGGUUUGAAUGGUUAUGAUAGUUGUUGAAUAAUUUGUUUAACAGUUACCAUCUCCAAUAUUUCUGAUUCAGAUGGCUCAUAAGAAUUGGAGGGCUGUCCUUUAUUAGGACAUUCUACUUUGUUUUCCAAAUAUUUUUCUCUAAUAACAUUUCCUCUUUUACCUCAGAAAAAUUUUCAGGAUUACAUCUAUUUUGCAUUGACCAAAACUGCAACUGCUGUGAUCACAGAAAACCCUUAAAAGGGUAGGGUAGGGAGCAUGAAGUUCAUUUUUGGGUAAGUUGGUCAAUAGAAUGCUGACACACAUAGAGUCUUGUAUGCGUGUCAGCAUUCUAUUGGUCAAUUGACCAACUUACUCAAAAAUGAACUUCAUGCUAACCAUUUUCGUAGGGAAGGUAAGCCUCCAUUAAUGAUGCAAAAGAAACAGGUAGUUUAUUGUCUGUCCUGGAUUCGAAAUUACCAAAUUAUGAUGCAAAGGAAAACAUGAAUAUGUUGAGUGAAGUCUGAGAGCAAAGGAGCUUCCACAACAAAAGUGUCGCUAUAGAUCUUAUAGCGACGAUUUUCACUGUCGUUAUACAUCUUCAGCGACAUUUUUGUUGUAAAAAUAAUAAAAAAUAUUAUGGAUUUAACGAUUCAUCUUUUUUUUUUCUUGGCAAAUUUAUAAUCAAGUUAUAUGAACAUUCACAAGCAAAUUAUGAGAAUCAUAUUUCAAGUUUUUUCACUAUCAAAUUAUGAGUGACCAAGCAAAGGUCUUAGUAUGUUCACUUAUACUUCAAUAGAUUCUACCCAAAUGUAUAAGCUACUUAUAAAAAUAUUCAAACAUUCAAUUCAACAUGUAACAGAUAGAAAAAGCUAAAAGAAAAUCAUAACAUUGCAAAAUCUUUUUAAGCCUCAAAAUAACAAAUAUGGAUGUGGGGGGUCAAAUGUAGUUUGAACACUAUAUAUUUACCAUGUUGUAACAUGAAUAUGUGCAAAACAAACAAAAAUAGCAUGAAAACAGAUCUCCAUUAUCGACAUAUACAGGAAAAUGCACAUAUACGGAAACAAUAUAUACAUGUAAAUAUAAAGAUAAUAGAGCUGAGAAAAAGUUGGAGCAAAUUAAUACCAACCUAAAGGUCAAGUCUUUCUGAUGCUACGCUGCAGGGUACAGUUUACUCUGGUCAGAAAUCCUAGUAUGAAAAAAAUCAGAUAGAGAUCAAAACUAGUAUUAUGAACAAAACCCAGCAUUAAAAAGCUGAUUGAAAAUAUCCCCAAUUCAAAAAUCAAAAGAAAAGAGAGAGAGAGUUAAAAUUAUAUCUCAAAAUUUCAAUAUUUUUAAGAAUCCCAGUAGAAUAAUCGAACUGAAAGAAAUGAUAACACCCACCAGAGUCGAAGAAUCGGUGUUUGAUGGUUGGAUCUUUGGCCGGAUCUCAAACGUAGAUCAGGCUGCUUUUUGUAUUUAAAAAUGUAAAUCAGGUUUUCACAUCUGCCAC